GACACUGAGCUAGGGUGGCCAUGCCUCGCCCUGACCUCAGGCCCAUGGGCCCCGUGGAUGAGCAGGGGCAUGCAGGACAGGCCUGCAGGGCAGGGCAGGGCAGUAGGGUUUUCAUCGGCAAAGCCCCGUGAUCCUCACAGUAGCCCCAGGAGUUGGACCAGCCUGGACCCUUACCCCAUUUUACAGAGUCUCGCUCUGUUGCCCAGGCUGGAGUGCAGGGGUGUGAUCUCAGUUCGCUGCAACCUCUGCCUCCCAGGUUCAAGUGAUUCUUCUGCCUCAUCCUCCUGAGUCGCUGGGAUUACAGGUGUGAGGUAUCAUGCCUGGCCCAAGAUUUACUUUAUUUGAUAUUAAUAUAGCCACAUCUGCUUACUUUUAAAAUUAAUGUCUGCAUGGCAUAUUAUUGCUAUUCCUUAAUUUCCAAUUUACCUCUAUCAUUAUAGCUUACCCACUGAUGUAGCUUUAGCAGCUGCUGUCCCAGUUCUCAAAUAUCCAGGCUAGCUUGGUGGCCCCUUUAUCCAUGGGUCAUUUAUUUAAUCCAAUCUGCCAAUCCCUGCCUUUAAUUAGUGUUUUUAAACCAUUUACAUUUAAUGUAAUUAUUCAUAGUUUAAUCUGAUGUCUGUUAUUUUAUUUUUUGUCUUCUCCUUAUUUUCUGUUUCUUUUUUGCUCUUGUCUUUCUUGUCUUGUUUUUUCUCUUCCCUUUAACAUUUUUUAGAUCUCCUUUUGAUUAAUUUAUAGAGUUUUUGAUUAUAUCUCUUUGUAUGAACUUUUUAGUUAUUGCUCAAAUAUCACAUUUUAUAUUUAUAACACAGGCUACUGAUGUUGACAUUUUAACAGUUCAAGUGAAGUGUAGAAAUCUUACCCAUUAUCCCUCCCUAUUAAUAAUAUAAUUGUCUUAAAUGUCUUUUCCUACAUAUAUUUAUAACAAGUAUAUGAGAUAGCCUUACAAUUUUUGCUUUAACUAUCAAUCAUGCAUUAGGAAACUCAAGAAGAAAGGGAAAUGUAUUUAAUUCAUAUUUUCACUCUUUUUAAAAUGAAUUUCAUAAAAUCUAGAUUGGCAAAUUUAGAAAUAAAAUUUCUAAAUGUU
RNAcentral lists this long non-coding RNA (1084 nucleotides) under Homo sapiens (human). RNAcentral's name for it is "non-protein coding LINC00299:7". Lineage: Eukaryota; Metazoa; Chordata; Mammalia; Primates; Hominidae. The record is from RNAcentral.